GACGAACGCUGGCGGCGUGCUUAACACAUGCAAGUCGAACGGAAAGGCCCGUUUGGGGGUACUCGGGUGGCGAACGGGGGGGGAACACGUGCGUAAGCUGCGCUUAACUUCGGGAUAACGGUAGGAAACUGGGGCUAAUACCGGAGACGAAUCAUUUCUGGAUGGUGGGGGUUGGAAAGUUUCGGCGGUUUUGGCUGGGCUUGAGAGUUAUCAGCUUGCUGGUGGGGUAGUGGCUUACCGAGGCGAUGGCGCGUAGCCGGGCUGAGGGGGCGACCGGCCACAGUGAGACUGAGAUACGGCCCCGGCUCCUACUCGUGCGAGCAGUGGGGAAUAUUGAACGAGGGGCGGGAGCCUGAUGCAGCAACGCCGCGGGCGGGAUGACGGUCUUCGGGUUGUAGAACGCAUGCAGCAGGAGCGAAGCUUGUGGUGACGGUACCUGCAGAAGAAGCACCGGCUAACUACGUG
Molecule: ribosomal RNA, 465 nt
Filed under: uncultured bacterium
Lineage: Bacteria
Description: partial 16S ribosomal RNA
Rfam family: Bacterial small subunit ribosomal RNA
Source: RNAcentral